UCUAAUAUGGCAGAAACUAUGCUAUGAAUUUAAGCUUCAUAUAUAAAGAUAAAUCUUUUAUUAGAA
RNAcentral lists this transfer RNA (66 nucleotides) under Mesovelia thermalis. Its description in RNAcentral is "tRNA-Leu". Lineage: Eukaryota; Metazoa; Arthropoda; Insecta; Hemiptera; Mesoveliidae. The record is from RNAcentral.